Molecule: ribosomal RNA, 486 nt
Filed under: uncultured bacterium
Lineage: Bacteria
Description: bacterial SSU rRNA
Rfam family: Bacterial small subunit ribosomal RNA
Source: RNAcentral
AUUGAACGCUGGCGGCAUGCCUUACACAUGCAAGUCGAACGGCAGCACGGGGGCAACCCUGGUGGCGAGUGGCGGACGGGUGAGUAAAGCAUCGGAACGUAUCCUGGAGUGGGGGAUAACGUAGCGAAAGUUACGCUAAUACCGCAUAUUCUGUGAGCAGGAAAGCAGGGGAUCGCAAGACCUUGCGCUCUGGGAGCGGCCGAUGUCGGAUUAGCUAGUUGGUGGGGUAAAGGCCUACCAAGGCGACGAUCCGUAGCGGGUCUGAGAGGAUGAUCCGCCACACUGGGACUGAGACACGGCCCAGACUCCUACGGGAGGCAGCAGUGGGGAAUAUUGCGCAAUGGGCGAAAGCCUGACGCAGCCACGCCGCGUGAGUGAUGAAGGCCUUCGGGUUGUAAAGCUCUGUCGGGAGGGAAGAAGGCGGCAAGGCCUGACGGUACCUCGCAAGAAAGCACCGGCUAACUCUGUGCCAGCAGCCGCGGUAAU